GUAAGAGCUUGUCGCACCCUUUUUGCGUCAUGGGUAGAAGUGAAGUGUUUAUGUCUAAUCUUCCGAGAAGACAGGACAUUCAACACAUCCGUUCCAGUUUUAUAGAUGACGUUCCUGUCGACAACGAGGAUGCUGACGAAUUCGUACGGAUACCCACCCAGUGCCCUUUCUCCGACCAAGCCUCCCUUGACCCCUGUUUUGAAAGAGGCGAUACUGGCACACAGGGUUACAAGUGGUGUUAUGGAGUGUGCCAAGCUCCUCCGCUGUAACCCUGACAACGUGAUGCUGUGCGUACUGCCUGAGGCGCGUGGACAGCAUGACGUCACACUGGACAUCCAACACACCCUCAUUGAGGCGUUUUGUUGGGAGAAUGACAUCCAACUCAUAAAGGUUGAAAAUACAGAGAAACUCUCCAGUACCUUAUGGAUGUCUAGAAACGGUAUCCACGACGUCACGGCGGAGGAUGAUGUAUUUGAUAUGAGCUGUAUUCUAAUACAGUACCCAGCAGUUAAGAGCCCACUCCGGUCACACUGUCGCCAGAGAGGACGGCCAAGACUGUUCGCGUCCCGGGACGUUCCGCCAUGACACAGCAGAGCACGAUUCACUAUCAGGAAUCACUUUUGUCGCAGUUCCUGGAGAAGCAGAAUUACUGCUGAAGACGGAGAGACAAUGGCCACAGAUGAUGUUCACUGGCAUGCUUAAGGGAUUGAUGUCUGCUUCAUGGAAGUGUUUAUUGCUUCAAAGGAAAAGUCUGCUUCAAAGAAGAAACCACUUCUUUGUAUGGAAAGGUCUGCUUCAAAGAAGAAACCACUUCUUUGUAUGGACAGGUCUGCUUCAAAGAAUAAACAACUUCUUUGUAUGGGAAGGUCUGCUUCAAUGACUAUUCAAAUUCUUUUUAUGGAAAGGUUGUUUGCUUUAUAGAAGGAUUCUCUUUUUCAAAAGCAAAUACCGUGUGGUUCAAAGAAGUGUCCAAGUUUCUCUUCCUGAAAUGUCGUCUGCUACAGAGCAACUCUGACUGAAUCAGUGAGACAUAUGGCUAGUGUGAUGUACAUCUCAUUCGCACAGUAAAUAAAACACGCGUAACAAUCUCUAAUUAAUGUUGCUGUUCAGAUUACAUCUUCCCAGCACUGUGAAUAUUGAU
RNAcentral lists this unclassified non-coding RNA (1141 nucleotides) under Haliotis rubra (blacklip abalone). RNAcentral's name for it is "growth arrest and DNA damage-inducible protein GADD45 alpha-like, transcript variant X2". Lineage: Eukaryota; Metazoa; Mollusca; Gastropoda; Lepetellida; Haliotidae. The record is from RNAcentral.